Molecule: long non-coding RNA, 512 nt
Filed under: Androctonus crassicauda
Lineage: Eukaryota; Metazoa; Arthropoda; Arachnida; Scorpiones; Buthidae
Source: RNAcentral
ACGUUUUAAAACUAACCAACCAUACUCUUCUUUCCAGUCGACUAUUAUGGGAUAUAGAAAGUACCUGAAAGUAUAUUUUGGUACCUGUUUUAAUAUUCAGCUAGUUAGUCACAUGCGUGGAUGUAUAUCGUUGGUCACCAGUAUAGCGAUAGAGUGAAGUUGUGCUACAUAAAUUUCGGUACCAAAAUAUAUAUAUCACAUUUUGGUACGAAAUUGAUAAACAUAUGCGACCAUUCAGCCAACUACAGACUAUCUGCGAGGAUCUCCCGGAUAGUGAGUGACUGCUGCUUUGCCAUCAGGUUUAAUUCCAAGUCUCGCACCUAUUUUUCGAGAAACGUCACGGAUCCUUUGAAGACUAUCAUUCAACUGUUCAGUUGACUCCAUUAUGUGUGUCGACAGUGGUGUCCCUACGGUAGUGCGGCCGCGCCGGGUGACACCCACUGUUUUCAAAUGUAUAUUAAAAAGUUACAUUUUUGCCAAUUUUAUAACUGUAAACCCUUUUUAAAAUGGUC